Seriola aureovittata is the source of this 1605-nucleotide long non-coding RNA. RefSeq lists it as uncharacterized. The transcript has 3 exons. Lineage: Eukaryota; Metazoa; Chordata; Actinopteri; Carangiformes; Carangidae. The record is from RefSeq and is a predicted model, not a curated record.
CCCACUAUUCAAAUUCUGUAAGUCUCUGUGUUUAGGUAGAAACUUUCUAUGAAACAGCACAAAAACAUCUGUCUACUACAGAGGAAGCCGUGGGGAAGACUGAAAGAGUAGACUUCUCCUAAAGAAUUACAGACCAACUAUUACAUUUAACUUUAUUUCCAAAAACAAAAGAACUUUACUUCAAAGUGUUUAAGACAAAGGUUCAAUUUUGAUAAUAAUAGUUUUACUUUCUGUGAGGAAGAAAUAGAAACUACAGAUUGUAUAUUUUUCUUCUGUCUUUAUAGUAACACAUUCUGGUCUGAUAUGUGUAAAUUUUAUCAGAAAUGAUAUUACAUUGGGAACCAUUAUAGAGGAUAAGAAAGCUGAAUAUUUAUUAAAAAAAUUAUUCAUGUUAGAGAAAUUCUUUAUCCAUAAUUGUAGAUGUAUUAAGACACAACCUUUAUUAAUGUUUUUUAUGAAAGAACUAGCUCUAUACUGCAAAUCACUAAAUUGUAUGGAAAAAAAGCAGCAAUAAACAACUAAAUAUAAUUGAUUCCUUUUAGAUAUUACCCCUUAGAUAUGUUAUUUAUUUUGUUUACUUUUGUUAUACGUUUUUUUUUCUUCCUUAUUCUGCGAUCCGUUUUCUUAAGAACGUUACACUGAUGUUAAACUUGUCAUAUUGUUGUACACUUUCUACUUAAAUAAAAAAAAACCAAAACAAAUUGCGACGCUGUAACCACAGGAAGGUGUUGGUAUGGCAACGACAGACGGUACUUUUCUGUGAUGAUGAAACUACAUGAAGCACUUUGAAAAUGUCACUACAGGAACUACGUGAUGCUCUGAUUACAUGACGUGCCUUUGCUGUGAGAGCUGCUUGUACUGUGACGCUGUAUUCCUGCUCUUGCACUGAUGGAAUGGAAUAUUUUUAUAUAUUUAUCCUAUGGUGCUUUUACUUCAAUAAAAGUUGUUUUUUUCUUUAAAUGGCCCCUGAAACAUGUGAUCGGCCACUACUCAGAGUCAUAGAAAACUGACUUCCAGUCAGUUUAACAGAAUAAUACCGGAAGUAGGUUGAAGUUAUUCCACCUUCAAAAUGAAGCCGUAAACCCGUGACAAAGUGAAGCACUGUGGCUUCCUCAAUACUGUCAUUUAAUGUUCUUUAAUGUUCUUUAAUGGACGCGAAUUCAACAUGUUUUACUGUGGUCUUCGUCAGUAUGCCAACUAGUCUGCCACCAAGCAGACCUUAGUUUUGGAAAUUAUCACCGGAAAUGAGCAGCUCCAUGUUGUUGAGCUUGACGUCGCGGGCUGAAUCUCAGCAUGGACCCAGUAUCCUCCCCACCGACGUCCGACUGCUAAACGGGUCGUACUUUAGAGAAACGGGACCCUGGUUCAUCGUCGUGUAGCUGUGAGAACGGGUGAGAUGCCGAAGGAUUCCCUGCUAAGAUCUCCAUUGUAAAAGAGAAGAGGAGGGAUAGAGCUGACUUGUUACAAGAAUCCAGCACCAUGAGACUGAAACCCCAAAGGCUCCUCUCUAUGGGGAGUGUGUGUUGACUGUUCAGCUUGACGAUGAUGAUGUGUGUCGUGCUGAAGAGGAAGAGGAAGAAGAGGAGGUGGAGUUUUAUCUUUUAU